AAGUCGUAACAAGGUUUCCGUAGGUGAACCUGCGGAAUUAACACGCGUUAACCCCCUGUGAACCUUACAUCCACGUCAUAAACCGGCAAUCUCUGGUAAAUCAUCGCCGAACAGUUUUGAUUCAGAAACCUCUGUACGGUAGUGCGAGGCAAUUGACCUGGCAUUCCUCUGCUUGUUAGUGUCUGAAAGUGUCACUAGCUAUGUACGGAUGGCGCAGUAACGAUCGCUGGAGGCCGACACGGCCGGCGACCAGGUCACUGGGCUACGGCCCCCCUGAUCACAACCUUUGCAUGAAAACGGGCCUGCGCUGAGGUGCGGCCACCCCUAAUGCUUGAACAACUGUUAACAAUGGAUAUCUUGGUUCUC
This 366-nucleotide unclassified non-coding RNA is filed under the name fungal sp. RNAcentral's name for it is "partial internal transcribed spacer region". Lineage: Eukaryota; Fungi. The record is from RNAcentral.